GUAAAACUGAACGGUAAAACUGAAUUGAGAGCAAAGUCGUCCAUUCGCACCCGAUGACUGGCAAGACACAAACGGCCGAUAUGGCCACUUCAGCCGACAAGUCUAUGGAGAAAUGUGUAUUAUUUUACGCUGAGCCCUGAUUUGCUACCAGUUAGCAGUGGCACUCAUCGACAUUUUGUGUCAACAAAACCUUAUUGUAGCCCCGAUCGUCAAUUUCCUAAGUGUGGAUAGCAUUGUCUGCAUAAUAACAUUAAAUUCCGGUGAGCAUCUCUUGGUCCUCCCUUUUGGUCGUAGGAAAGGGUCGGUUGUUCGACUCGUGAUGCUGCCAGAAAGUUUCCGGAAGUAACAUCAGGAGUAGAAAAUUGCUCAUCAAGUGUUGACCUGUUUAAUCGCCAUUUCGCAAAAUGCGAAACGCGAAACAUUAGACUGAGGAGAAGUGGAGAAGAAUAGAAAACUCGAGUUUUCAUUCCGGUAACCCUUCUUAUGAAGCUUCCGGCCUCGUCAGGGUUUCCAACCUUCCCAUAUAUAUCGUAAACUCGACAAGAACGUCCGAUUAUUCAGUAUUGAUCUGCCCUAUCGCAUAUUGAAAUAUCAAAUCAGACUGAACUGAAUAACCAUGUCCGAUAGACAAUUGCCAUGAGCAGAUGAUACGAGGGUCUACAUUUAAAUGCCUAGAAAACCUGAUCGGUGUUACUAUAAUAUUUAAUGACGAGAGGAUGCGGCCUAGAUGCUUUAAAAAAAAGGAAUCGGCAAGACGACGUCUGCACACGUUCAACGUGGAUCAUCUGUGAUUGUUAUUGGUAUUAUUUUUUGUAAGUUAACCCGUUGGCUGCCACGCCUUU
Molecule: long non-coding RNA, 842 nt
Organism: Daphnia pulicaria
Lineage: Eukaryota; Metazoa; Arthropoda; Branchiopoda; Diplostraca; Daphniidae
Exons: 6
Source: RefSeq, a predicted model, not a curated record